CACAUUCAAAGAGUGCGUAAUAGCUCACUAGUCGAGAGGUCCUGCGCCGAAAAUUUCCGGGGCUAAAACACGAUACCGAAGCUUAGGAAUGUAGCAAUACAUUGGUAGAGGAGCAAUCUCAGAGUGCCGAAGCGUUACCGUAAGGAAGCGUGGAGUUCUGAGAAGAGAGAAUGCCGGAAUGAGUAGCGAGAAUGAUGUGAGAAUCAUCAUGGCCGAAUAUCCAAGGAUUCCAGGGUAAAGCUGAUCUGCCCUGGGUAAGUCGGGACCUAAGGCGAGGGAGAGAUCCGUAGUCGAUGGACAGCAGGUUCAUAUUCCUGCACCUGACAUGAUCAGAACUGUGGGGACACAGGAACAAAACCGGACCCGGGAGAGCAAAGACCGGGCGAAGCGAAGCUAGGAGUGCGGUAGGCAAAUCCGCCGCACAAUCCGAAAGCGUGAUAGGGAGCGAAAAAUAAGUAGCGAAGCCGGUGGAGGGACUGUCGAGAAAAGCCGCUAUUGUAUCAUGUCAGCCCGUACCGCAAACCGACACAGGUGGAUGAGGAGAGAAUCCUAAGGCCGGCGGGAGAAGCAUUGUUAAGGAACUCGGCAAAAUGACCCCGUAACUUCGGGAGAAGGGGUGCUGCAGAGAUGCAGCCGCAGAGAAAAGGCUCAAGCAACUGUUUAGCAAAAACACAGGUCUAUGCGAAACCGUAAGGUAAAGUAUAUGGGCUGACGCCUGCCCGGUGCUGGAAGGUUAAGAGGAGAGGUUAGCGCAAGCGAAGCUUUGAAUUUAAGCCCCAGUAAACGGCGGCCGUAACUAUAACGGUCCUAAGGUAGCGAAAUUCCUUGUCGGGUAAGUUCCGACCCGCACGAAAGGCGUAAUGAUUUGAGCGCUGUCUCAACAAUGCACCCGGUGAAAUUGAAGUACCAGUGAAGAUGCUGGUGACCUGCGCCAGGACGGAAAGACCCCAUGGAGCUUUACUCCAGCUUGAUACCGGGAUUCGGUGUUACUCGUACAGGAUAGGUGGGAGGCUAAGAAGGAAGGACGCCAGUCUUUCCGGAGCCGCUGUUGGGAUACCACCCCUGUGGCACUGGAUUUCUAACCUACAUCCGUGAUCCGGAUGGGGGACAAUGUCAGGUGGGGAGUUUGACUGGGGCGGUCGCCUCCGAAAGAGUAUCGGAGGCGCUCAAAGGUUCCCUCAGAAUGGUUGGAAACCAUUCGAAGAGCGCAAAGGCAGAAGGGAGCUUGACUGCGACACCGACGGGUGGAGCAGGUACGAAAGUAGGACUUAGUGAUCCGGUGGUAUAAAGUGGGAUUGCCAUCGCUCAACGGAUAAAAGCUACCCUGGGGAUAACAGGCUUAUCACUCCCAAGAGUUCACAUCGACGGAGUGGUUUGGCACCUCGAUGUCGGCUCAUCGCAUCCUGGGGCUGAAGUCGGUCCCAAG
RNAcentral lists this ribosomal RNA (1426 nucleotides) under human metagenome. RNAcentral's name for it is "bacterial LSU rRNA". It matches the Rfam family "Bacterial large subunit ribosomal RNA", at positions 1118 to 2569 of the family's 2925-position model. The record is from RNAcentral.